GGGGGAACAGCUCAGUGGCAGAGCGCAUGCUUAGCAUGCACAAGGUCCUGAGUUCAAUCCCCAGUACGUCCA
RNAcentral lists this transfer RNA (72 nucleotides) under Camelus bactrianus (Bactrian camel). It matches the Rfam family "tRNA". From Rfam's summary of the family: Transfer RNA (tRNA) molecules are approximately 80 nucleotides in length. Their secondary structure includes four short double-helical elements and three loops (D, anti-codon, and T loops). Further hydrogen bonds mediate the characteristic L-shaped molecular structure. tRNAs have two regions of fundamental functional importance: the anti-codon, which is responsible for specific mRNA codon recognition, and the 3' end, to which the tRNAs corresponding amino acid is attached (by aminoacyl-tRNA synthetases). tRNAs cope with the degeneracy of the genetic code in two manners: having more than one tRNA (with a specific anti-codon) for a particular amino acid; and 'wobble' base-pairing, i.e. permitting non-standard base-pairing at the 3rd anti-codon position. The record is from Rfam by way of RNAcentral. Lineage: Eukaryota; Metazoa; Chordata; Mammalia; Artiodactyla; Camelidae. RNAcentral also lists the same sequence under 2 other names.